Molecule: non-coding RNA, 115 nt
Organism: Capsicum annuum
Lineage: Eukaryota; Viridiplantae; Streptophyta; Magnoliopsida; Solanales; Solanaceae
Source: Rfam
AUCCCAAAUAAACUUCUCUGUUUAUUUGAUUCAUGGGAGGCAUAUAUUGAUAUUGGGAGUUUGCUGACCUUUCUUUUCUUCAGGGGCUGUUUGAAUAAUACCUCUCCACGCACAU